ACAGGGCUGAGGUUGCUCCACAUUGGGCCAGGGAGGUUUGUGCACAGAAUGUGGUUGGCUUUGUAGGGCUGUGCCAAGCUGCUGGCACAAAGAUAAAGGGCCGAGUCCCCCAGCUCCAAGGCGCUCACAUUCAUCUCAGAGCUAUAGUUAGAGAACUGGCGCCCUGAGAAUCGAGCAGGGAAGUUUCCUUUAUCAUUCUGUAUCUCAUUGUAGUAUUGGAAGAGGAACUGAGGGUCCUGUCCUGGGGCCUGUUGGUACCAGUACACUCUGUUAUGCCCAGAGAUAGGGGAGCACCUCAGUGUCACUUGCUGUCCUCUCAUUUUGAUCAGGUGUCUUGGAGUUUGGGUGACUCCAGCCUCUCCCAGGCCUGUGGGAAAAGCAGAUGGAAAAUGAGCACAGGAGACAGCCUGGUGCUACCUCCUCCCCAAGGUAAAGUGGAGGACACCGAGCGGGGACAAGCUCAGAAUGGGGGUGCUGUCCUGUCUGCAGGGACUCACCUGCUCCCAGGAGACAGAGCAGCGUCCAACAGAGCAGCCCGGAGCCCAUGGCACGAAGGGUCAGGCAACACUGUCUGUGCUCAGGGCUCGGUCCUCCUGGGGGAGAGCUGAGUUCUCAGCCUCACUUUUCCUGAUGGGAGGGGUAUCCUGUGACGUCACUGUCCUGUGUCCUCCCCUUUCAGGCUUCCUGAGAUCCAGUGCUCCCUGUUCUGCUCAGCGGAAUGCAGUGUGCUGUGAGGGAGGGAGAGAGAGGCUGGGGAAAGAACACAGGCGGGAGCCUGAGGGUCCCUUGGAUGAGGCGUGCUCCAGAGACAUCCCACCUGUGCCAAAGACUCACCCACUCCCAGGAGACAAAGCCCUUUCCAUCAGAGGCACCUGGAGCCUAUGGCCAGGGCCCCUCUCAGCAAGAGACCACUCCCAUUCAAGGAAUCUCCUUCUCCCCUGUGGGAUCACAUGAGACAGCACCUUUCAAAACGCC
This 975-nucleotide long non-coding RNA is filed under the name Aotus nancymaae (Ma's night monkey). Its description in RNAcentral is "lncRNA (ENSANAG00000038660.1)". Lineage: Eukaryota; Metazoa; Chordata; Mammalia; Primates; Aotidae. The record is from RNAcentral.